AGUAACGGCGAGUGAACAGGGAAAAGCCCAAAUUUGUAAUCUGGCACUUUUUACAAGUGUCCGAGUUGUAAUUUGUAGAGCUGUUAUCCGUACUGGACCAUGUACAAGUCUGUUGAAAAGCAGCAUCAUUGAAGGUGAAAAUCCUGUAGAUGAUAUGGACUACCAGUAUAUUUGUGAUACGGUUUCUAAGAGUCGAGUUGUUUGGGAAUGCAGCUCAAAGUGGGUGGUAAAUUCCAUCUAAGGCUAAAUAUAAGUGAGAGACCGAUAGCAAACAAGUACCGUGAGGGAAAGAUGAAAAGAACUUUGAAAAUAGAGUUAACAGUACGUGAAAUUGCUGAAAGGGAAACGUUUGAAGUUAGUUUUGUAUUCGUUGGAUCAGCUUCGCAAGGAGUGUAUUCUGAUGAUAAGCAAGUCAACAUCAGUCUAUGAGUGUUGGAUAAGGGUUUUGAGAAUGUAGCAAUUUAAUUGUGUUAUAGCUUGAGACUUGGAUACAAUGCUUUGGAUUGAGGAACGCGUAGUAAGCUUUGAGCGGAUUCGAAAGGAUCUCCUUA
RNAcentral lists this ribosomal RNA (551 nucleotides) under Melampsora sp. HNWFC-L915054. Its description in RNAcentral is "eukaryotic LSU rRNA". It matches the Rfam family "Eukaryotic large subunit ribosomal RNA", at positions 82 to 626 of the family's 3401-position model. Lineage: Eukaryota; Fungi; Basidiomycota; Pucciniomycetes; Pucciniales; Melampsoraceae. The record is from RNAcentral.